GCAAGAUGGAGUUUAAAGUUCUGUUUGCCAGGGUCUCUCAGUGGUGACAUGAAAAAGGUCCUCCCAGCCAUAUCCGGCCAUAUCCAGCUCCCUACAGAGCUUCGUUCACAUAAGCAAGCAAGAAAUAAAGAAGUGGAAGGGAGCUGCAGAAAACCGCACCCAAAAGAUGGCGCUGGUUUCCGCCCUCCGCCAGCCCGACGGCGAGCGCUCUCUGUGGUAAACAACUCCAAAUAUGGUAAAGGUCAUGUAUCCUCUUAAUUCUGCUUGGAGACAACCUAUCCUGGCGCGCCACGUAGGGUUAGGUGAUUGGUAGAUGUAGA
RNAcentral lists this long non-coding RNA (320 nucleotides) under Cricetulus griseus (Chinese hamster). RNAcentral describes it as "lncRNA (ENSCGRG00015034307.1)". The record is from RNAcentral. Lineage: Eukaryota; Metazoa; Chordata; Mammalia; Rodentia; Cricetidae.